This 453-nucleotide ribosomal RNA is filed under the name uncultured Desulfocapsa sp. RNAcentral describes it as "bacterial SSU rRNA". It matches the Rfam family "Bacterial small subunit ribosomal RNA", at positions 929 to 1382 of the family's 1533-position model. Lineage: Bacteria; Pseudomonadati; Thermodesulfobacteriota; Desulfobulbia; Desulfobulbales; Desulfocapsaceae. The record is from RNAcentral.
GCGGUGGAGCAUGUGGUUAAUUCGAUGCAACGCGAAGAACCUUACCUGGGCUUGACAGUCCCUGGAAUCCCCUGGAAACAGGGGAGUGCCCUUCGGGGAGCCAGGAGACAGGUGCUGCAUGGCUGUCGUCAGCUCGUGUCGUGAGAUGUUGGUUAAGUCCCGCAACGAGCGCAACCCUUGUCUUUAAUUGCCAUCAUUCAGUUGGGGCACUUUAAAGAGACUGCCGGUGUUAAACCGGAGAAGUGGGGAUGACGUCAAGUCCUCAUGGCCUUUAUGACCAGGGCUACACACGUACUACAAUGGCAGGUACAAAGGGCAGCCACUUAGCGAUAAGGCGCGAAUCCCGUAAAAACCUGUCUCAGUCCGGAUUGGAGUCUGCAACUCGACUCCAUGAAGUUGGAAUCGCUAGUAAUCGCAGAUCAGCACGCUGCGGUGAAUACGUUCCCGGGCCUU